RNAcentral lists this unclassified non-coding RNA (336 nucleotides) under soil metagenome. Its description in RNAcentral is "partial contains 5.8S ribosomal RNA, internal transcribed spacer 2, and large subunit ribosomal RNA". The stretch from base 1 to 120 matches the Rfam family "5.8S ribosomal RNA", at positions 35 to 154 of the family's 154-position model. The record is from RNAcentral.
GAUGAAGAACGCAGCGAAAUGCGAUAAGUAAUGUGAAUUGCAGAAUUCAGUGAAUCAUCGAAUCUUUGAACGCACAUUGCGCCCGCCAGUAUUCUGGCGGGCAUGCCUGUUCGAGCGUCAUUUCAACCAUCAAGCCCCCCGGCUUGUGUUGGGGACCUGCGGCUGCCGCAGGCCCUGAAAAGCAGUGGCGGGCUCGCUGUCACACCGAGCGUAGUAGAUCUCAUCUCGCUCAGGGCGUGCUGCGGGUUCCGGCCGUUAAACCACCUUCAUAACCCAAGGUUGACCUCGGAUCAGGUAGGAAGACCCGCUGAACUUAAGCAUAUCAAUAAGCGGAGG